This 301-nucleotide ribosomal RNA is filed under the name uncultured bacterium. RNAcentral's name for it is "partial 16S ribosomal RNA". It matches the Rfam family "Bacterial small subunit ribosomal RNA", at positions 509 to 807 of the family's 1533-position model. The record is from RNAcentral.
CAGCAGCCGCGGGAAUACGUAGGGUGCGAGCGUUAAUCGGAAUUACUGGGCGUAAAGCGUGCGCAGGCGGUUCGUUAAGACAGAUGUGAAAUCCCCGGGCUUAACCUGGGAACUGCAUUUGUGACUGGCGAGCUAGAGCAUGGCAGAGGGGGGUAGGAUUCCACGUGUAGCAGUGAAAUGCGUAGAGAUGUGGAGGAAUACCGAUGGCGAAGGCAGCCCCCUGGGCCAAUACUAACGCUCAUGCACGAAAGCGUGGGGAGCAAACAGGAUUAGAUACCCCCGUAGUCCCUGUCUCUUAUAC